CGACGAAAUAGAGGUCGCGGGGACGACCACAGCUAGACGAGUAGCGGAUACGAUGACUCUAGUUGAAAGCAACCCCGCCGAAACGACAGUUGCUCCGCAGCAACUGUCGUUGGGCCGGUCGACGAAAGUCGCCGGACUGUCUUGCCACUGGCAAGGAGCGCUAUGAUUGUU
This 171-nucleotide non-coding RNA is filed under the name Lacticaseibacillus thailandensis. Its description in RNAcentral is "Lactobacillus thailandensis Lysine sequence". It matches the Rfam family "Lysine riboswitch aptamer". From Rfam's summary of the family: Riboswitches are metabolite binding domains within certain messenger RNAs that serve as precision sensors for their corresponding targets. Lineage: Bacteria; Bacillati; Bacillota; Bacilli; Lactobacillales; Lactobacillaceae. The record is from RNAcentral. RNAcentral also lists the same sequence under 1 other name.